RNAcentral lists this ribosomal RNA (486 nucleotides) under uncultured bacterium. Its description in RNAcentral is "partial 16S ribosomal RNA". It matches the Rfam family "Bacterial small subunit ribosomal RNA", at positions 30 to 507 of the family's 1533-position model. The record is from RNAcentral.
AUUGAACGCUGGCGGCAUGCCUUACACAUGCAAGUCGAACGGCAGCACGGGUGCUUGCACCUGGUGGCGAGUGGCGAACGGGUGAGUAAUACAUCGGAACAUGUCCUGUAGUGGGGGAUAGCCCGGCGAAAGCCGGAUUAAUACCGCAUACGAUCUACGGAUGAAAGCGGGGGACCUUCGGGCCUCGCGCUAUAGGGUUGGCCGAUGGCUGAUUAGCUAGUUGGUGGGGUAAAGGCCUACCAAGGCGACGAUCAGUAGCUGGUCUGAGAGGACGACCAGCCACACUGGGACUGAGACACGGCCCAGACUCCUACGGGAGGCAGCAGUGGGGAAUUUUGGACAAUGGGCGAAAGCCUGAUCCAGCAAUGCCGCGUGUGUGAAGAAGGCCUUCGGGUUGUAAAGCACUUUUGUCCGGAAAGAAGUCCUUGGCCCUAAUACGGUCGGGGGAUGACGGUACCGGAAGAAUAAGCACCGGCUAACUACGUG